UCGAGAAUCUUCGGCAAUGGGCGAAAGCCUGACCGAGCGAUGCCGCGUGCGGGAUGAAGGCCCUCGGGUUGUAAACCGCUGUCAGUUGGGAGGAAAUCCCUUGGGGCUAUCCCCUUGGGUUGACCUAUCUUCAGAGGAAGGACGGGCUAAGUUCGUGCCAGCAGCCGCGGUAAUACGAACCGUCCAAACGUUAUUCGGAAUUAUUGGGCUUAAAGGGUACGUAGGCGGCCAUGUAGGUGGGGUGUGAAAUCCCCCGGCUCAACCGGGGAACUGCGCCCCAAACCACAUGGCUUGAGGGAGACAGAGGUAAGCGGAACUGAUGGUGGAGCGGUGAAAUGCGUUGAUAUCAUCAGGAACACCAGUGGCGAAAGCGGCUUACUGGGUCUCUUCUGACGCUGAGGUACGAAAGCUAGGGUAGCGAACGGGAUUAGAUACCCCCGUAGUCC
Molecule: ribosomal RNA, 446 nt
Filed under: uncultured prokaryote
Description: bacterial SSU rRNA
Rfam family: Bacterial small subunit ribosomal RNA
Source: RNAcentral